AUAAAAUAAUUAUGUUUUUGGAAAUUUAUUAUAAAUUUAUUUUACAUAUAAAUUUUAGUAUAUAAUUUUAAUUAUUUAAAUAAUAAUUAAUUUAAUUUAGUAGUAAUUAAUAUUAAAAAUUUAAGAAAUUAAGAUUUAGUAAUAUAAAAAUUAAUAACUAAUUUUGUGCCAGCAGUUGCGGUUAAACAAAAGUUAAAUUAAAUUAUUUCAGUUUAUAAUAAAUAAUUAAAUUAUUAAAUUAAAUAUUAAAUUAUUAAGUGAAAUUUUAAUUUAAUUAAAUUUUAUUUAAAAAUUAUGAUUUAGUAAAUUUUAAUAUAAACUAGGAUUAGAUACCCUAUUAUUAAAAAUUUAAUUUAUAAUACUAAAAUAGUAAAUAAUAAUUUAUUGAAACUUAAAUAAUAUGGCGGUAUUUUAGUUCAUUUAGAGGAAUCUGUCUAAUAAUUGAUAAUCCACGAAUAAAUUUACUUAAUUUAUAAUUUUGUAUAUCAUUGUUAAAAAAAUAUUUUUUAGGAAAAAUAAUAUUUAAAAAUUAAAAUUAAAAAUUAAAUCAGAUCAAGAUGCAGAAUAUAAUUAAGAAUAUGAUGGAUUACAUUAAAUAUAUUUAAAUGGAUAAUUUUAUUGUAAUAAAAAUUUGAAGGUGGAUUUAAAUGUAAUUUUAAUUAGUUUAUUAAAAUGAUUAAAAAUUAAAAUAUGUACAUAUUGCCCGUCACUUUCAUUUAAAAAUUGAAAUAAGUCGUAACAAAGUAGAGGUACUGGAAAGUGUUUCUAGAAAGA
This 774-nucleotide non-coding RNA is filed under the name Junonia natalica. Lineage: Eukaryota; Metazoa; Arthropoda; Insecta; Lepidoptera; Nymphalidae. The record is from RNAcentral.